This is a small nucleolar RNA of Sander lucioperca (pikeperch), 89 nucleotides long. The record is from Ensembl. Lineage: Eukaryota; Metazoa; Chordata; Actinopteri; Perciformes; Percidae.
AUCCUGUGAUGACAAAAUCAAAUAACUUUUCUGACACCUACUAUGAGAGCUGUACUCCAGCUCCUGAUUCUGUCUUUAUUCUGAGGCUC